Molecule: transfer RNA, 71 nt
Filed under: Myotis lucifugus (little brown bat)
Lineage: Eukaryota; Metazoa; Chordata; Mammalia; Chiroptera; Vespertilionidae
Rfam family: tRNA
About the family: Transfer RNA (tRNA) molecules are approximately 80 nucleotides in length. Their secondary structure includes four short double-helical elements and three loops (D, anti-codon, and T loops).
Source: Rfam by way of RNAcentral
GCCGGUGUGGCUCAGUGGUUGAGCGCCGACCUAGGAACCGGGAGGUCAGGGUUUGAUUCCCAGUAGAGGCA